UCUCCCUGACGUCUGUCUCUCUCAAAGAUAUACUGGUAUCCACGGUAACCUGGAAACUGGUAGCCCACCCAGCUGCAGCCUACUGAAACAAAUGGAGGAUGACUUACGCUCCAGAGUUGACUUUCAUAGAAGGAACCUCCUUACUGCACCAGCCCAUGCCUUGAAGAGAGGGGUAGUCAUCGCACAUCUCAAACUUGCGUCCCAUCAUGUCCUCACACUCAUACAGGUUGACCAUCCAUCCAUGAUGUGCUAUCCUCUCAGAGGUUCAGGAACAU
Onychostoma macrolepis is the source of this 275-nucleotide long non-coding RNA. RefSeq lists it as uncharacterized. NCBI's taxonomy places the organism in Eukaryota, Metazoa, Chordata, Actinopteri, Cypriniformes, Cyprinidae. The record is from RefSeq and is a predicted model, not a curated record. The transcript is spliced from 3 exons.